UAGGGAAUCUUCCACAAUGGGCGGAAAGCCUGAUGGAGCAACGCCGCGUGUGUGAUGAAGGGUUUCGGCUCGUAAAACACUGUUGUAAGAGAAGAAUGACAUUGAGAGUAACUGUUCAAUGUGUGACGGUAUCUUACCAGAAAGGAACGGCUAAAUACGUGCCCG
This 165-nucleotide ribosomal RNA is filed under the name uncultured bacterium. RNAcentral describes it as "partial 16S rRNA". It matches the Rfam family "Bacterial small subunit ribosomal RNA", at positions 355 to 511 of the family's 1533-position model. The record is from RNAcentral.